GUCGAGCGGUAAGGCCCUUCGGGGUACACGAGCGGCGAACGGGUGAGUAACACGUGGGUGAUCUGCCUUGCACUCUGGGAUAAGCCUGGGAAACUGGGUCUAAUACCGGAUAUGACCUGCAGUUGCAUGACUGUGGGUGGAAAGAUUUAUCGGUGCGAGAUGAGCCCGCGGCCUAUCAGCUUGUUGGUGGGGUAAUGGCCUACCAAGGCGACGACGGGUAGCCGGCCUGAGAGGGCGACCGGCCACACUGGGACUGAGACACGGCCCAGACUCCUACGGGAGGCAGCAGUGGGGAAUAUUGCACAAUGGGCGGAAGCCUGAUGCAGCGACGCCGCGUGAGGGAUGACGGCCUUCGGGUUGUAAACCUCUUUCGACUCCGACGAAGCGAAAGUGACGGUAGGAGUAUAAGAAGCACCGGCCAACUACGUGCCAGCAGCCGCGGUAAUACGUAGGGUGCGAGCGUUGUCCGGAAUUACUGGGCGUAAAGAGCUUGUAGGCGGCUUGUCGCGUCGAUCGUGAAAACUCGGGGCUCAACCCCGAGCUUGCGGUCGAUACGGGCAGGCUUGAGUACUUCAGGGGAGACUGGAAUUCCUGGUGUAGCGGUGAAAUGCGCAGAUAUCAGGAGGAACACCGGUGGCGAAGGCGGGUCUCUGGGAAGUAACUGACGCUGAGAAGCGAAAGCGUGGGUAGCGAACAGGAUUAGAUACCCUGGUAGUCCACGCCGUAAACGGUGGGUACUAGGUGUGGGUUUCCUUCCACGGGAUCCGUGCCGUAGCUAACGCAUUAAGUACCCCGCCUGGGGAGUACGGCCGCAAGGCUAAAACUCAAAGGAAUUGACGGGGGCCCGCACAAGCGGCGGAGCAUGUGGAUUAAUUCGAUGCAACGCGAAGAACCUUACCUGGGUUUGACAUACACCGGAAACCUGCAGAGAUGUAGGCCACCUUGUGGUC
This 950-nucleotide ribosomal RNA is filed under the name Nocardia carnea. Its description in RNAcentral is "bacterial SSU rRNA". It matches the Rfam family "Bacterial small subunit ribosomal RNA", at positions 61 to 1027 of the family's 1533-position model. The record is from RNAcentral. Lineage: Bacteria; Bacillati; Actinomycetota; Actinomycetes; Mycobacteriales; Nocardiaceae.